GCCCCCCGCUCAGCGAUUGGCCGAAAAAUUGGGGCUGGGACGGGAACCGGGAGCCCGGGAUGCGCUGGGCAGGUGAGACAGGUGAGACAGGUGAGAUGGGACAGGUGAGAUGGGACAGGUGAGAUGGACAGGUGAGAUGGACAGGUGAGAUGGGACAGGUGAGACAUGGACAGGUGAGACAUGGACAGGUGAGACAGGUGAGAUGGACAGGUGAGACAUGGACAGGUGAGACAUGGACAGGUGAGAUGGGACAGGUGAGACAUGGACAGGUGAGACAUGGACAGGUGAGAUGGACAGGUGAGAUGGGACAGGUGAGAUGGACAGGUGAGAUGGGACAGGUGAGAUGGACAGGUGAGACAGGUGGGACAGGUGAGGUUGGACAGGUGGGAGAGGUGGGACAGGUGACACAGGUGAGAUAUGAACAGGUGAGGUGGGUG
Molecule: long non-coding RNA, 437 nt
Filed under: Lonchura striata (white-rumped munia)
Lineage: Eukaryota; Metazoa; Chordata; Aves; Passeriformes; Estrildidae
Description: domestica (Bengalese finch) lncRNA (ENSLSDG00000010856.1)
Source: RNAcentral